Molecule: long non-coding RNA, 1622 nt
Organism: Anopheles arabiensis
Lineage: Eukaryota; Metazoa; Arthropoda; Insecta; Diptera; Culicidae
Exons: 3
Source: RefSeq, a predicted model, not a curated record
CUUCGGACGUGUAUCAAGAUAAGGAAGCGAUUUUACAGCCCACCGGCGGAGUAAAAGCACUAGAAACUCUUUAUAGCUUGCGCGACAAAAGCGGACAGUAUCCUUCAGGCGAGUGAUGCCACAAUUUGUCAACACGAAAAUAGUACUUCUAGCUGGCAAAGCGGGCAACGUUGCAACGUGCCGGUAGCUUAUCUGGAUUACUGUAAUGCAGCAAUAAUAGAUCGGCUUCGGAAUGGUCUGUGGAUAACCUUUUUAGUACAUUGCUCGGAGCGAUAACAUGCUUGCCAGUUUUACAUGAGGUUUCGUUGCACGAGAAGACGCCAUUGCAGUGCCAGACAGUUUUGGAAACAUUUGUACACGUGACAUGUUUCUUGUAUUCCCACCCUUAUUCAACUAGAACGAUCGUCCUAUCGGGUGCCCUUCGAUUUGCAAGUAAAUCCAGUAGCUUUACUGAGUGCAGUGAGUCAGUCAGUAAGAACAUGCUGGAAUAAGCAAGGAUACUUAUGAAGUUCGGCGUUUGCAAAAUCGGACCAGUGAAAAACACGAAAAAAGGAGGUUUGCGUAGGAAUUGGGAACGGAAUAUGUAUGCGUGUGUGUAUGUGUUGCAUUCUGGAUGAAGAAUAUCCUAAACUUUCAUACAAGGGGGUAAUGAUGGUGCCUUGGACUGCCAAAGUAAAUGCAAACAUUCAAACGAUGAUAGUUGUUCGGUUUGCUGCCAUUUCAAUGUCAUUUCUUUUGCACGCUCCACUUUGUCCAUCUUGGCCAGGCUAGCUGGAGGUGGAAAAUUCGUGUUCGGUCCAGGUUCUGUAGGAUAUUUUAAGCGUUCUAUAGUGCAACUGGGCAACUGGUAAGUGCAUCGAUGAACACGACAGGACGUAACCAUGUCCGGCUUGGUUCGUGCACAAUCGCGCACAGUGAUGACGCUGUUUCCAAUCGAGUGCCCUUUGCCGGAGCGGAGCUUUUGCCAGACAUAUUACCCUUCCAAGUGCCGAGUGAUGUCAUGUCCCAACGUGACCAAGCGGAUGGCAUUUGUUUUGCUCAUUCCUGUCACGUUCGGCACACGUGAAGAACCAACUGUACCGAAAAAAAAGGCAGAAGCGGGACUCGCUUAUGGAAAUGCGAGGUCCUGUAUUUGGAAUCUUCUGUGGAAACGAAAUCUUCCAAUGAUUUCCAACGGCAGUGGAACAUCAGCACUCAGCCGUUGAUGCCACUCGUACUGUAACAUUUACACACACACAUACACAUUAAACUACCUCGGACGGAGGCCGAGGCAAUUGAAUCCCCGUUUGCAAAAGGCAAAUUUGCGUCCACAGCAUUGACAAUCGAGAAUUGCUGUCCAAUGUACCUAGCGCGUGUACCUAGGACCGUGAGUGUGACACUGAACCUGGGCAAAGGCAUGGUUUGUCAAAAGACGUGCGGACAGUUUGCCAUACAAUUUUUCUCAAUGUACCGGCGCGGACGUGAUUUGUUGCCGGUUCGUUUCCAUACAGACGACGUCAGCAGUGGUGUGUAUGUGUCAUUUAUAUCAAUUUUUCUCCCGUUCCACGUGGACAGUUUCGCUCGUGUGGCAAGUUCGUCGGGAGCUUUCAGCGCCUGGAGUAGAUGGAGAGCAAAAAAAAAAA